Molecule: ribosomal RNA, 206 nt
Filed under: uncultured Veillonellaceae bacterium
Lineage: Bacteria; Bacillati; Bacillota; Negativicutes; Veillonellales; Veillonellaceae
Description: partial 16S ribosomal RNA
Rfam family: Bacterial small subunit ribosomal RNA
Source: RNAcentral
CAUGUAGGUGGAUACUUAAGUCUGUUGUGAAAAUGCAGGGCUCAACCCCGUAUUGCGAUGGAAACUGGGUGUCUUGAGUGCAGGAGAGGAAAGGGGAAUUCCCAGUGUAGCGGUGAAAUGCGUAGAUAUUGGGAGGAACACCAGUGGCGAAGGCGCCUUUCUGGACUGUGUCUGACACUGAGAUGCGAAAGCUAGGGGAGCGAACG